This 1444-nucleotide ribosomal RNA is filed under the name metagenome. RNAcentral's name for it is "bacterial SSU rRNA". It matches the Rfam family "Bacterial small subunit ribosomal RNA". The record is from RNAcentral.
AGAGUUUGAUCCUGGCUCAGAUUGAACGCUGGCGGCAUGCUUUACACAUGCAAGUCGAACGGCAGCACGGGGGCAACCCUGGUGGCGAGUGGCGAACGGGUGAGUAAUAUAUCGGAACAUGUCCGGAAGUGGGGGAUAACGUACCGAAAGGUACGCUAAUACCGCAUAUGCCCUGAGGGGGAAAGGGGGGGACCGCAAGACCUCUCGCUUUCGGAGUGGCCGAUAUCGGAUUAGCUGUCUGAGAGGACGACCAGCCACACUGGAACUGAGACACGGUCCAGACUCCUACGGGAGGCAGCAGUGGGGAAUUUUGGACAAUGGGCGCAAGCCUGAUCCAGCCAUGCCGCGUGAGUGAAGAAGGCCUUCGGGUUGUAAAGCUCUUUCAGCCGGAAAGAAAACGCACGGGUUAAUACCUUGUGUGGAUGACGGUACCGGAAGAAGAAGCACCGGCUAACUACGUGCCAGCAGCCGCGGUAAUACGUAGGGUGCGAGCGUUAAUCGGAAUUACUGGGCGUAAAGCGUGCGCAGGCGGUUUUGUAAGACAGACGUGAAAUCCCCGGGCUUAACCUGGGAACUGCGUUUGUGACUGCAAGACUAGAGUGUAGCAGAGGGGGGUAGAAUUCCACGUGUAGCAGUGAAAUGCGUAGAGAUGUGGAGGAAUACCGAUGGCGAAGGCAGCCCCCUGGGCUAACACUGACGCUCAUGCACGAAAGCGUGGGGAGCAAACAGGAUUAGAUACCCUGGUAGUCCACGCCCUAAACGAUGUCAACUAGGUGUUGGGGAAGGAGACUUCUUUAGUACCGCAGCUAACGCGUGAAGUUGACCGCCUGGGGAGUACGGUCGCAAGAUUAAAACUCAAAGGAAUUGACGGGGACCCGCACAAGCGGUGGAUUAUGUGGAUUAAUUCGAUGCAACGCGAAAAACCUUACCUACCCUUGUCAUGUCAGGAAGAUUGCAGAGAUGCGAUUGUGCCCGAAAGGGAACCUGAACACAGGUGCUGCAUGGCUGUCGUCAGCUCGUGUCGUGAGAUGUUGGGUUAAGUCCCGCAACGAGCGCAACCCUUGUCAUUAAUUGCCAUCAUUUGGUUGGGCACUUUAAUGAGACUGCCGGUGAUAAACCGGAGGAAGGUGGGGAUGACGUCAAGUCCUCAUGGCCCUUAUGGGUAGGGCUUCACACGUAAUACAAUGGUCGGUACAGAGGGUUGCCAACCCGCGAGGGGGAGCUAAUCUCAGAAAGCCGAUCGUAGUCCGGAUCGGAGUCUGCAACUCGACUCCGUGAAGUCGGAAUCGCUAGUAAUCGCGGAUCAGCAUGUCGCGGUGAAUACGUUCCCGGGUCUUGUACACACCGCCCGUCACACCAUGGGAGUGGAAUCUGCCAGAAGUAGGUAGCCUAACCGCAAGGAGGGCGCUUACCACGGUGGGUUUCAUGACUGGGGUGAAGUCGG